This 761-nucleotide long non-coding RNA is filed under the name Ananas comosus (pineapple). RNAcentral describes it as "long non-coding RNA (ACOM_LNC016351)". Lineage: Eukaryota; Viridiplantae; Streptophyta; Magnoliopsida; Poales; Bromeliaceae. The record is from RNAcentral.
AGAUAUAUAACUGUUAUUUUAUACUGUAAUUAUAAAAUUUUAUUAUAGAAGUAGAAAUUUAGUAGUUUUUGUAUUUAGACUUUUUAUACAUCCCUCCCCGAUUCGCCCCUCCUUCUCCCUGCCCGCCACACCGCGAAAAGUGAUGUGAUAGUCUCCCAAAGUCAAAGAUUAUAUAGAUAUAGAUAUAGAUAUAGAAUAACGGUAAGAAUCUAUUAAUUUUUGUAUAUAUAUUUUUUAUUAAUUAUAGAUUGUAUUUAUUGGAUAAAAUUUUAAUUUUUAUUAUAUUGAUUAUUAAAAAAUAGGAUUUAUUGAUGCGAUAAAAUUUUACACUUGGUGUAGACAAAAAGAAAAAGAAAAAGGUGUUGACGAAAAAAUAAAAAAAAAGGUGUAGAGUGUGUGUGAGAGAGAAAGAGAGAUAGAGAGUGAGAGAGAGGGGAAAAAAAAAUGUGGCCCCCACCUGAGUGCCCUAAUUAAGAGGAGGGCUGCCGUACAUGAAUUGGGGAUCUGACGGUAUUCCCAAUUCAUAGUUUACUAGGUACGGACCUGCGCGAUGCUGCGGGAAGAUAAUAUUUGAAUUAUUUGCAAAUUAAGAAUAAUUUUUUUAGAAAUGUAUAAUUUUCAAAACAUAUCAAAAUACUAAAACUAUUUAGAAAAGAAACGUAAUACGAUGGAUAGAAGGUAUAUAGAAUCAAAACCCAGCAUAAAUAUUAACAAUAAAAGUUAAUGUAAGGUAGAUUAUUUGUACUAUAAUUAAGAACUAA